AGAGUUUGAUCAUGGCUCAGGACGAACGCUGGCGGCGUGCCUAAUACAUGCAAGUAGAACGCUGACUACUUUAGCUUGCUAGAGUAGAAGGAGUUGCGAACGGGUGAGUAACGCGUAGGUAACCUGCCUACUAGCGGGGGAUAACUAUUGGAAACGAUAGCUAAUACCGCAUAACAGUGUUUAACACAUGUUAGAUGCUUGAAAGAUGCAAAUGCAUCACUAGUAGAUGGACCUGCGUUGUAUUAGCUAGUUGGUGGGGUAACGGCCUACCAAGGCGACGAUACAUAGCCGACCUGAGAGGGUGAUCGGCCACACUGGGACUGAGACACGGCCCAGACUCCUACGGGAGGCAGCAGUAGGGAAUCUUCGGCAAUGGGGGCAACCCUGACCGAGCAACGCCGCGUGAGUGAAGAAGGUUUUCGGAUCGUAAAGCUCUGUUGUAAGAGAAGAACGUGUGUGAGAGUGGAAAGUUCACACAGUGACGGUAACUUACCAGAAAGGGACGGCUAACUACGUGCCAGCAGCCGCGGUAAUACGUAGGUCCCGAGCGUUGUCCGGAUUUAUUGGGCGUAAAGCGAGCGCAGGCGGUUUAAUAAGUCUGAAGUUAAAGGCAGUGGCUUAACCAUUGUUCGCUUUGGAAACUGUUAAACUUGAGUGCAGAAGGGGAGAGUGGAAUUCCAUGUGUAGCGGUGAAAUGCGUAGAUAUAUGGAGGAACACCGGUGGCGAAAGCGGCUCUCUGGUCUGUAACUGACGCUGAGGCUCGAAAGCGUGGGGAGCAAACAGGAUUAGAUACCCUGGUAGUCCAACGCCGUAAACGAUGAGUGCUAGGUGUUAGGCCCUUUCCGGGGCUUAGUGCCGCAGCU
Molecule: ribosomal RNA, 864 nt
Filed under: uncultured bacterium
Lineage: Bacteria
Description: bacterial SSU rRNA
Rfam family: Bacterial small subunit ribosomal RNA
Source: RNAcentral